CUUUCAACAAUGGAUCUCUUGGUUCCGGCAUCGAUGAAGAACGCCGCGAAAUGCGAUAAGUAAUG
Molecule: ribosomal RNA, 65 nt
Filed under: Penicillium cf. minioluteum B1/2/2/3/A1
Lineage: Eukaryota; Fungi; Ascomycota; Eurotiomycetes; Eurotiales; Aspergillaceae
Description: partial 5.8S ribosomal RNA
Rfam family: 5.8S ribosomal RNA
About the family: 5.8S ribosomal RNA (5.8S rRNA) is a component of the large subunit of the eukaryotic ribosome.
Source: RNAcentral